GAUGGGCCUGCGGCCUAUCAGGUAGUUGGUAAGGUAACGGCUUACCAAGCCAAAGACGGGUAGCCGGACUGAGAGGUUGAACGGCCACACUGGAACUGAGACACGGUCCAGACUCUUACGGGAGGCAGCAGUGGGGAAUUUUGCGCAAUGGGGGAAACCCUGACGCAGCGACGCCGCGUGGAGGAUGAAGGUCUUCGGAUUGUAAACUCCUUUUGUCGGGGAAGAUAGUGACGGUACCCGAUGAAUAAGCCACGGCUAACUCUGUGCCAGCAGCCGCGGUAAGACAGAGGUGGCAAGCGUUGUUCGGAAUUACUGGGCUUAAAGGGCGCGUAGGCGGUGGAGUAAGUCUAAGGUGGAAGAUUAGGGCUUAACCCUAAAAUUGCCUUGGAAACUGCAUCACUUGAGUCAGCGAGGGGAUGGCGGAAUUCCAGGUGUAGCGGUGAAAUGCGUAGAUAUCUGGAGGAAGGCCGGUGGCGAAGGCGGCCAUCUGGCGCUGAACUGACGCUGAGGCGCGAAAGCGUGGGGAGCAAACAGGAUUAGAU
Molecule: ribosomal RNA, 542 nt
Filed under: uncultured bacterium
Lineage: Bacteria
Description: bacterial SSU rRNA
Rfam family: Bacterial small subunit ribosomal RNA
Source: RNAcentral